This 253-nucleotide ribosomal RNA is filed under the name uncultured bacterium. Its description in RNAcentral is "partial 16S ribosomal RNA". It matches the Rfam family "Bacterial small subunit ribosomal RNA", at positions 524 to 776 of the family's 1533-position model. The record is from RNAcentral.
UACAGAGGGUGCGAGCGUUAAUCGGAAUUACUGGGCGUAAAGCGCGCGUAGGCGGAUUUGCAAGUCGGGGGUGAAAUCCCGAGGCUCAACCUCGGAACUGCCUUCGAUACUGCAAAUCUCGAGUCCGGAAGAGGUGAGUGGAAUUCCUAGUGUAGAGGUGAAAUUCGUAGAUAUUAGGAAGAACACCAGUGGCGAAGGCGGCUCACUGGUCCGGUACUGACGCUGAGGCGCGAAAGCGUGGGGAGCAAACAGG